GGAAAAUGAAGUCACAGGUCCCUUAUGAUGCAUGGCUAGGAUCUGAUGAGACCACUUGGGAGGAUUUUUAGGGUUCACCUUCGGAGGACUUUUAGGGCUUGGCCGUGUAAUAUUCGGGAUUUUAAUGGAUUAUCAACCACAAGAGCAGUGACUGAGGCCUCGUUUGGCACACCGUAUUAAGCAUCGGAUAGGGUUAAUAAUGCGGGAGUGGGUGUUUGGAGACUUACGUACUAAAUAGUCGCCGAACUAACAAAUCCGGUCCAAAUUAAUUAGUACGCCUCAAAUCCGCUAGUUAGUACGCUAAAAAAACUCGGUAUAAUUUAGUCGGCCUCAAAACGCCUCGCACCCCUCUCGCAUCUGCUCCGUCAUCUCGUGUCUGUUGCUCUGGAGAUUCAGAGCUAAAUCAGCGAAACCACUCCCGCUCACACCUGAUUGCAUCAUCUUCCUCAUGGGUGUUUUCUCGUUUCAUCUUCAUCGUCUUCCUUUUGCUGCAAUUUUCUUUUUUUUCUUCUUUUUUUCUCUUUUUC
This 527-nucleotide long non-coding RNA is filed under the name Malus domestica (apple). RNAcentral's name for it is "long non-coding RNA (MDOM_LNC007244)". Lineage: Eukaryota; Viridiplantae; Streptophyta; Magnoliopsida; Rosales; Rosaceae. The record is from RNAcentral.